This 21-nucleotide non-coding RNA is filed under the name Caenorhabditis elegans. The record is from RNAcentral. Lineage: Eukaryota; Metazoa; Nematoda; Chromadorea; Rhabditida; Rhabditidae.
UCCAUGAGAUUCGUUGUGACA